GGACCGUCCACUUUAGGGAUUCAGUGUUUCUUCAGAAUAUUAUGAUUGCUGAGUAAAUUAUUUCUUCAAGUUUUAUAAUUUUAUCUUUCAGUGUGGAGUCAGCCAUACCCCUUUUCACACCUGGAAGGGUCUGGGCGGCUGUCCGUGUAUCCAGUAUUUUUGCUGUUAGCAGGAAACGUCAGGAGCUACAGAUCAGUUCAACUCUGAGCCAGGAUUUCAGAUGCAAGGACCUGAGCUAUGUUUGGUGUUAUUUUGCAUCUGAAUCACUGCAAUGCGGCUGAAAUACAGCCUUUCUGAUAUGACGUCUUCUGGCAAUUUAGUUAGAAGCUGUGCUGUGUGAAUAAAGUCCAUCUGUAGAAGAAUAUCUUCAUAUAAUUGGAGGAUUUAUAAUCCUGUCUUAAAUAAAACUUGUUCCCCAUCUCUGCAAAGUACAC
This 434-nucleotide long non-coding RNA is filed under the name Chinchilla lanigera (long-tailed chinchilla). RNAcentral describes it as "lncRNA (ENSCLAG00000023794.1)". Lineage: Eukaryota; Metazoa; Chordata; Mammalia; Rodentia; Chinchillidae. The record is from RNAcentral.